UGCGGAAAAAAAUGACGCGUGCGUAACUUCGCACGUAAUUUCGUAUGCGACGGAACUAUACCGCUGUCCGCAAAACAAUGGAGGACGAAGAAGUUGUUUUGUUAGUUAUUCUUUUGUAUUUUUUCGCCAACGCAUGUACGUCUGUUAUAGACAGACAACUUCAAGAUGUGUAUGAAAAGAUAAAAAACGACAGGAAAGCUAGAGCACGAAAGAGAAGAAGACUUUUACGUCGGAUUGCGGAGAUAGAAUUUUCCGAGGCAGAAAUAUGGAAACACAAGCAAAAAAAGUUACACCGGCAACUCUAUGCACGUCGCGGUUCAUCGCCGGUUUGGAUGUGCAACAGGACUGCUGACUGGUGGGAAACAGCAGCUCCAAGCUUAGCGUUUGACCAGUAGAUACAGAACUUUUGAAUGCCAUAGGAUACAUUGAUGUACCGUGACACAACCCAAACUGGAAAAAAUGGACACAAACUACUGUUUGUGUGUGCAACUACAAAAAAGGAUUACUUGCACUGUGGAAAGUCGCAAACAAAUCCGAAGCGUUACACAUCCUUUUGCUGUUGGAAUGUCUACUGUGUGGGAGUAUUACAGAAUUCUGCUAUUGACAGAGUAUUAAUACCAGAAAUAAUUACAUGUCCAAAUAUGCUAAACUUGAAGAAAUUGCUAUGUACGUGUAUCAAUAAAUAUCAUAAAAUUUAGGUUACUGCAGUGUGUAGGAGCCGUAGAUGGAACACACAUCUCCAUUCUGGGACCAGAAGAGUACCACACUGAAUAUUUUAAUGGUAGAGGCUGUUCCUGGCAGACUUUGUCACUUUGUAUAGUACAAUCCCAUGUCUAAGACUUUGGCUGCUAUUUGGUUGUUUGUGUACAGUUCGUACAUUUCGUCUUGUUUGUAAAUUUCUAUGUUCUUAUUAUGCUGUUCAGCGAAAUAGCUAUUUCAGUAUUAGUUUAAAAGCUGGUUUAUUAAACCUUUCUCUGAUGCUUACAGCACAACAGCAGCUGUACAAUUACAAAACCAUAAAGGUGAGGGUUUCUGUAGAAAAGGCUUUUGGUAAAUUGAAGUGUAGGUGGCAAUGUCUAGUAAAACGUAAUGCCUGCAAUGUAAGCCAUGCCAAAGCCAUAAUGUUGUGAAUUGCAUGUCGAGGAGUGUAGAGAUGAAUGGGGAGUUUUGUGACUCGUUAACCACCCUGACGGGGGGAUCCCUGGGAAAUGAUGCAGGUCCAGGACUCGUGCAAUAUUUAAGGGCCGUGCAGUUUUUUAUCCUGUAUUGCACCGUGUGCAUGAGUAUUUUUAAUUGCAAGCAAUAAAGUUUUGUAUGACGCACUUCCGUAUGCAUCAAAGCAAAUUCAACAGGAGUAGGCUACCGGUUGUUUCACCUCCAAUUGAACUGACACAAAGUAGCCUAACAGAAGAGGAAAAUGGCACAAAGAUUAACAUUAACUCCUUCUGUCUGUCUUUGACAGAAUUUAACAAACGUAAGCAAAAAUUCAAAACUAACCCUAGUCUCAGGGGCUAUCCCAAGGCAUAGGGCUAUCCCAAGGCAUAGGGCUAUCCCAAGGCAUAGGGCUAUCCUAAGAUACAGCCUAGGGCCAGAGGUGGCAAUUUCAGGUCCAGAAAGUAAAAAUCCAGACCAUGAUUUACUUUCAACCAACCAGCUGAGCAUAAAGAGUCACAGAGUACUCUUCUGGUUGCUUGAAAGUAAAUCAUUUUUAUUUUCUGGGCCUGAAAUUGCCACCUCUGCCUAAGACCAUGGCAAAAACCGGAAGCAGUUCUUAAAUUUGGCCAUUCAAUCCGCUUGUGCAAUGUCCCCCUCUCCCAGAUCGGAAAAUUUUAGCGACAGCACUCCUCCCUCAUCGGUAAGUUUUACCACAGGCACCCUGUCCUUUGAUUAACAAAUUAUUUAUGUUUCAUUGUUUUUAAUCAUCUCUCGCUUAUCUUUCAACUAGAAAAAAUAUCUCAGUUGGCCCAUUAGGGGGCCUCCUACCCAUGUCAGCCCAAUGCCCUCAGAGUACGUAAUUCACCCCUGACAUUACACUGUCCGAAAAAAAGAGUUCCAAUUUGUACCUUUGGUUAUCACAGCGGCUGUACUUAUGGUUUUGCCAACUGUACACUAGCUGUAGAUAAUUGUACCUUUUAAGAUACAGAAAUGGACUCUGAGGAACAUUUUUGCACCACUGGCUAUACAUUAAUGUUGUUUGUACCUUGGGCAUGUUCCUCAUAAUCCAUUUUUGUACUUAGAGUAAAAGGUACAUUUGCCUACAGGUAGGGUACACCCUUGUGAUAGCAAAGGUACAAAUUGAUGCUCUUUUUUUCUUUGCCAAGUAAACUCCCUGGCUGUAUUUAUAGCCACAUCAUUGCCUUUUUUUAGCGAUUUACAUCUUUGUAUUUUUCAUACAGCUCCAUCAGCAGCGUUUGUUCUGCAGCGGAAAAAACCAGCACUCUCGUUUUACACGCUUUCCGAAUCAUUUGAUCGAUUUGUCGUUCAUCCAUUCAUUUGGGCUUCUUAAAUAUCUCGGGUGUGCGCACUAAGUCAGAUUGUGAAAGUCUGUCUUGUAUGAGCCUUGAUUAAUUAAAGCGGAACUUAGUGGAAUGACCUGAGGCUAUGUUUAGAGAUGGCGCUAGUUUGAGUUUGACUUUCGGUAAAGUGUGGCUUUCUGUAGCUACUUUCAUGGAUUACCCCCUUGGUCGUAAGUCCGCGCGGUUGUUAGGUAUAGGUCGUUAAGUGAGGGCUAUCUGUAUAUACUACAAGUUAAGAUUUUGAUGCUUAUAGCACUUUAUAAGCAAUAUUUUUGCAUGCGCAGGUUAGUUUGGUUUGAAUAAAAGUAGAAGACAAAGUGUGGGACAGUUUGAAUAAAAUGAUCAAAGAGAAGAAAAAGAAUGCUCACCCUCUAUUGAUAAGCCAGGGAAGCAAAAAAACGUUAAAUCCAAGAACACAUUCAACAAUGGACACCCCACCCACAUUAACAGCAGCAACAGUUAGGUGAUUAUACCUUGUCAGAUGAAAAUACAUCCAUCAAUCCAUCCAUAUUAAUAAUAACUAUAAUAAAAAUAUAUUGUAAUAUGAAACAUAUCAAAACAAAUUAUGUUGUAAAGUUAUAUUUAAAAAUCUAUUUAUUUGUAAAUAUUUUUAUAUUUAAUGUUAAUUAUAUUUCCUAUACUAGCUGUUUGAGAUAUUUGUACGUCAUUAUGUUAGUGGACGGGGGAAGUAAGAGCAUCUCGGUCAUCGGGCAUGAGCUGCAUUGUCCAGUCAUGUCCAUUGUCAUGAACCAGCUAAACAAAAUGAACUGCAUGAAUCUGCAGUGACUGAGAUAAUGUCUUUCACUUAAGAGAUUUGAAGAAUGAAUCAUUCCUGAAUGACAGGACUUGCUUUAAGCAGGUAGUGACACUCUACAAUCUACAAUUCUGUGCCAAAGUUGUAGGCAGCCAAAGGAAAUUGUUUAAAUUGUUUUUGUGUUGGUGUUAAACUGUGAAAUCUGCCAGAGUGUGUCAGCUUAAACAUUAUAGACAUUUCCUCUUGUUAUCCCACAAACCAACUCCUUGUAUACCUUUUUUGGGUAAGCAGUACCCCAUGAGGUUAAUUCAGUAAUUAAAUUAAUUAAUUAAAUUAUCUGUGGGUAAAAUUUGAUAAGCACAUGGAAAGGCUGAGGAGAGGUUUGGGAACCAAAGCGAUGUUCUAGCUAUUCAACAGGAUAUCAGUGACUCUUUGGAGCACACAAGAGAUUGUUAUACUUUUAUUGUAUAUAUUCAAAUGAUAAAAUGUGUGUUUUCCAAGCAACUUUGUGAGCAGAUCAUUUCCUUUUGAUGUCUAAGACUUCUGCACAGGUCUGUAUUUUCCUGCCACUCCACAUACUUCAGGAAUACCUAUCCACCUUCUCACCGCUGGUCACUGGCAGAAGGGGGCACGCGACUGGAUCACACCCUGGAUGGGAUUCCCGGUACUUCAAGAAUAAACCACCCAUUAACAUCUGAUGCAGUGCACACACAUGUUCAGCCUGAGCAACAUGGCGACGACCAGAAUGACAUCUGAACAUGACUGUUUCCGGUGUGCUGCCCUCAGAUGGAGCGUGCGGCUCGGGGGUCAAGCCAACGCAGCCGGCGAUGCGGUGAAAAAAAAAGGAGGAAGAGGAGAAACAGGACUGACAGAAUAUGCGAAGGAAAACAGAAUUUAAAGUUAAGGCACAGCCCUGGGCCCAAGGGACUGCAGCUCUUGUACUGUUUGGCCUGUUCACUGCUCCAUCACACACAAACUCUCAGGUGGAGAAACGGGUGGUGGCGGGGGUAUUUAGAGGGAUGUCCUUAGUAGCCCCCUUCUCUCUUUUUAAAUUAAAAGUUUAUAAUUCCAAAACCCACAUUAUAGGGUUUUUUUCUGUAUUCAGCAGGAACAGGACAGAACCACAUUACACUGCUAUUAAAAAAAAAAAAACUAAACAACGAAGGCAGCUAAUUCCCA
Molecule: long non-coding RNA, 4449 nt
Organism: Brienomyrus brachyistius
Lineage: Eukaryota; Metazoa; Chordata; Actinopteri; Osteoglossiformes; Mormyridae
Exons: 3
Source: RefSeq, a predicted model, not a curated record